AAAUAACUGCCACCGGGUAGUGAAUGUAAGCAUUCGUUUGUGCAUCGUUAGGUCUUUGAAGAUGCACUGCGGAUGCUUAUUUUUA
This 85-nucleotide non-coding RNA is filed under the name unclassified sequences. The record is from RNAcentral.